UACGUAGGGUGCGAGCGUUAAUCGGAAUUACUGGGCGUAAAGUGUGCGCAGGCGGCAGAGCAAGUCGAGUGUGAAAGCCCCGGGCUUAACUUGGGAAUUGCGCUCGAAACUACUUUGCUGGAGUGUGGCAGAGGAAGGUGGAAUUCCACGUGUAGCGGUGUAAUGCGUAGAGAUGUGGAGGAACACCAAUGGCGAAGGCAGCCUUCUGGGCCAACACUGACGCUCAUGCACGAAAGCGUGGGGAGCAAACAGG
Molecule: ribosomal RNA, 253 nt
Filed under: uncultured bacterium
Lineage: Bacteria
Description: partial 16S ribosomal RNA
Rfam family: Bacterial small subunit ribosomal RNA
Source: RNAcentral